GCUCGGGUGGCGAAACUGGUAACCGCAGUUGACUUAAGAUCAACCGCUCGCAAGAGCUUGCCGGUUCGACUCCGGCCCCGAGCACCA
RNAcentral lists this transfer RNA (87 nucleotides) under Candidatus Yanofskybacteria bacterium RIFCSPHIGHO2_02_FULL_41_11. RNAcentral describes it as "tRNA-Leu". It matches the Rfam family "tRNA". From Rfam's summary of the family: Transfer RNA (tRNA) molecules are approximately 80 nucleotides in length. Their secondary structure includes four short double-helical elements and three loops (D, anti-codon, and T loops). Lineage: Bacteria; Candidatus Yanofskyibacteriota. The record is from RNAcentral.